UCAAAAUAAUAUUACUGUUCGAAAUGUUGCUUCUCCUGAGCAUGUAACUGAAAUACCUGGACAACUCAUUCUUCUAAGGAAUAUGUAUAUAUUUUGUUACAACAAGCAAUCUCAUUCAGACUAUUUGCUUAAGGAUAAGGAUUGCCCAACUUACACAUUUAACAAACUUUACUAUAUAUAGAGAUAAUAUUCUUUUUGAAGUGCGCCUAUCCAUACAAUAUUCUUAGCAAUCUGAUUUUUUUUUUUAAAAAUCUACCAUCUUUAAUGAUAUUGGUUUUAAUGUAAAUUUCUCAAUGAGUCAGCAGUGGUAUUGUAUGAAGCUUUUCACCUCCUAUCUUCACAGGCCUGUUCUCCGCACCAAAAGCUCCACGAGCAGUUGUAUUGUAUGAAGCUUUUCACCUCCCAUCUUCACAGGCCUGUUCUCCACACCAAAAGCUCCACAAGGUAUGUAUCCAUCUCUCUCUCUCUCUCAUAGCUAUAUAUGUGCCACGCUCGUGGGUUCUGCCCAAUCCAGAUGGAGAGGGCCAUUUACAUGAGUAACAGAAUUAAUCGAGAUGCAUGCAAGUUAGUCUGACACCUGGUCAUAAAAAAAAAA
Camellia sinensis is the source of this 595-nucleotide non-coding RNA. The record is from RefSeq and is a predicted model, not a curated record. NCBI's taxonomy places the organism in Eukaryota, Viridiplantae, Streptophyta, Magnoliopsida, Ericales, Theaceae.